GAUGAACGCUGGCGGCGUGCCUAAUACAUGCCAGUAGAACGCUGAAGCUUGGUGCUUGCACCGAGCGGAUGAGUUGCGAACGGGUGAGUAACGCGUAGGUAACCUGCCUCUUAGCGGGGGAUAACUAUUGGAAACGAUAGCUAAUACCGCAUAAAAGUCGAUAUCGCAUGAUAUUGAUUUGAAAGGUGCAAUUGCAUCACUAAGAGAUGGACCUGCGUUGUAUUAGCUAGUUGGUGAGGUAACGGCUCACCAAGGCAACGAUACAUAGCCGACCUGAGAGGGUGAUCGGCCACACUGGGACUGAGACACGGCCCAGACUCCUACGGGAGGCAGCAGUAGGGAAUCUUCGGCAAUGGGGGCAACCCUGACCGAGCAACGCCGCGUGAGUGAAGAAGGUUUUCGGAUCGUAAAGCUCUGUUGUAAGAGAAGAACGAGUGUGAGAGUGGAAAGUUCACACUGUGACGGUAACUUACCAGAAAGGGACGGCUAACUACGUG
This 497-nucleotide ribosomal RNA is filed under the name uncultured bacterium. Its description in RNAcentral is "partial 16S ribosomal RNA". It matches the Rfam family "Bacterial small subunit ribosomal RNA", at positions 28 to 507 of the family's 1533-position model. The record is from RNAcentral.